Sander lucioperca (pikeperch) is the source of this 153-nucleotide long non-coding RNA. RefSeq lists it as uncharacterized. Lineage: Eukaryota; Metazoa; Chordata; Actinopteri; Perciformes; Percidae. The transcript has 3 exons. The record is from RefSeq and is a predicted model, not a curated record.
UUAACAUUUAUAAUCAAUAAAAAGGGCUAAAGGGAUGUGUUAAAUAGACCCCAUAAAGUCAUCCUACAACUGAUGUUGAUACUGGACUGUAUGGAUGGUAGCUACAGAACAUGCUAUGAUACUGGACUGUAUGGAUGGUAGCUACAGGACAUG